RNAcentral lists this ribosomal RNA (465 nucleotides) under Vreelandella stevensii. RNAcentral describes it as "partial 16S ribosomal RNA". It matches the Rfam family "Bacterial small subunit ribosomal RNA", at positions 338 to 795 of the family's 1533-position model. Lineage: Bacteria; Pseudomonadati; Pseudomonadota; Gammaproteobacteria; Oceanospirillales; Halomonadaceae. The record is from RNAcentral.
CCUACGGGGGGCUGCAGUGGGGAAUAUUGGACAAUGGGGGCAACCCUGAUCCAGCCAUGCCGCGUGUGUGAAGAAGGCCCUCGGGUUGUAAAGCACUUUCAGUGAGGAAGAACGCCUGGUGGUUAAUACCCAUCAGGAAAGACAUCACUCACAGAAGAAGCACCGGCUAACUCCGUGCCAGCAGCCGCGGUAAUACGGAGGGUGCGAGCGUUAAUCGGAAUUACUGGGCGUAAAGCGCGCGUAGGUGGCUUGAUAAGCCGGUUGUGAAAGCCCCGGGCUCAACCUGGGAACGGCAUCCGGAACUGUCAAGCUAGAGUGCAGGAGAGGAAGGUGGAAUUCCCGGUGUAGCGGUGAAAUGCGUAGAGAUCGGGAGGAAUACCAGUGGCGAAGGCGGCCUUCUGGACUGACACUGACACUGAGGUGCGAAAGCGUGGGUAGCAAACAGGAUUAGAUACCCUGGUAGUC